GCCGAGUGUGGUGGCGCACACCUGUAAUUCCAGCUACUUGGGAGGCUGAGGCAGAAGAAUCACUUGAAUCUAGGAGGCAGAGACUGCAGUGAGCCAAGAUCUUGCCACUGCACUCCAGCCUAGGUGACGAAGUGAGACUCGGUCUCAA
RNAcentral lists this non-coding RNA (148 nucleotides) under Nomascus leucogenys (northern white-cheeked gibbon). The record is from Rfam by way of RNAcentral. Lineage: Eukaryota; Metazoa; Chordata; Mammalia; Primates; Hylobatidae.